RNAcentral lists this transfer RNA (68 nucleotides) under Syntrophobacterales bacterium. RNAcentral's name for it is "tRNA-His". The record is from RNAcentral. Lineage: Bacteria; Pseudomonadati; Thermodesulfobacteriota; Syntrophobacteria; Syntrophobacterales.
GUAUUUUAUGGUAAAAUGGCGUUUAUGGAACGCCAGUAACCGGGGUUCGACUCCCCGUGGGGACGCCA